RNAcentral lists this ribosomal RNA (494 nucleotides) under Paralamyctes neverneverensis. RNAcentral's name for it is "partial 16S ribosomal RNA". It matches the Rfam family "Bacterial large subunit ribosomal RNA", at positions 1819 to 2600 of the family's 2925-position model. Lineage: Eukaryota; Metazoa; Arthropoda; Chilopoda; Lithobiomorpha; Henicopidae. The record is from RNAcentral.
CGUUUUUUGAGUUAAAUAAAAAAUAUGGCCUGCCCAAUGAGAACUUGAAUGGCCGCAGUAUUUUGACUGUGCGAAGGUAGCAUAAUCAUUUGUCUAUUAAUUGUGGACUAGUAUGAAUGGCCGGAUGGGGGAAAGCUGUUUUUAAGUUAAAGGUGAAUUUUAGGUCUUUGUGAAGACGCUGAGAUGAGUAUAAAAGACGAGAAGACCCUAUUAAGCUUUACAUUUUAUUUGUUUUUAGGCUUGUUAUAAUGAUGGUGUUUUAUUGGGGCGAUAGUAUUAUAGAGAAACUUUUAUUGACAUGUAAUGAUUGUAAUUAGAGCGAUUUUAUGAUCCAAAAUUUUUGAUUGGGAGAACAAGUUACUAUAGGGAUAACAGCGUAAUUUCACUGGAGAGUUCUUAUUGAUAGUGGAGAUUGCGACCUCGAUGUUGAAUUAGGAUACCUUUAAGUUGUAGUCGGUUUUUAAGGUAGUCUGUUCGACUAUUAAAAUCCUACA